Molecule: transfer RNA, 73 nt
Filed under: Camelus bactrianus (Bactrian camel)
Lineage: Eukaryota; Metazoa; Chordata; Mammalia; Artiodactyla; Camelidae
Also listed under: 1 other name
Rfam family: tRNA
About the family: Transfer RNA (tRNA) molecules are approximately 80 nucleotides in length. Their secondary structure includes four short double-helical elements and three loops (D, anti-codon, and T loops). Further hydrogen bonds mediate the characteristic L-shaped molecular structure. tRNAs have two regions of fundamental functional importance: the anti-codon, which is responsible for specific mRNA codon recognition, and the 3' end, to which the tRNAs corresponding amino acid is attached (by aminoacyl-tRNA synthetases). tRNAs cope with the degeneracy of the genetic code in two manners: having more than one tRNA (with a specific anti-codon) for a particular amino acid; and 'wobble' base-pairing, i.e. permitting non-standard base-pairing at the 3rd anti-codon position.
Source: Rfam by way of RNAcentral
GAAUGUAUAGCUCAAGUGGUAGAGUGUAUGCUUAGCAUAUGCAAGUUUCUGGGCUCAAACCCCAGUACCUCCU